RNA transcript from Ananas comosus (pineapple), 2132 nucleotides. It is a transcript of the gene named AP2-like ethylene-responsive transcription factor At2g41710, with no coding region annotated. The record is from RefSeq and is a predicted model, not a curated record. The transcript is spliced from 10 exons. NCBI's taxonomy places the organism in Eukaryota, Viridiplantae, Streptophyta, Magnoliopsida, Poales, Bromeliaceae.
UGGUCCGAACCCCCUUCUCCUAAACCCCUCCCCUCUCUCUCUCUCUCUCUCUCUCUGUGGUGGGCGCCCUCAUCAUUUGAAAUCCUAUAGGCUCCCUCCCCCAUCACUCUCUCUCUCUCUCUCUCUCUCUCUCUCUCUCUCUCUCCACCUUCGAAAGCAUUGGUUGCUCCUCUCACUUGCGCUCUCUCCAUCCCUCUGCACAUAUGGCUGCGGCUUCGUCGUCGUCGUCGCACGAUGCGGGGUUUUCGACGGCGUCGGCGAUGGGAGGGGGAGGGGGAGGGGGAGUUGUAGGGGGCGAAGGGGCGUCAUGGGAAGGAGGAGGAGGAGGUGGCGGUGGUGGUGGGAGGGGCGGCGCGGAUCGGGUGAGCGUGGCGGGGCUGAAGCGGGCGAGGAAGGAGAGGGUCUGCACCGCCAAGGAGCGCAUCAGCCGCAUGCCCCCCUGCGCCGCCGGCAAGCGCAGCUCCAUCUACCGCGGCGUCACCCGGCACCGAUGGACCGGUCGUUAUGAAGCUCAUCUUUGGGAUAAGAGCACCUGGAACCAGAGCCAAAAUAAGAAAGGGAAACAAGUAUAUUUAGGUGCGUAUGAUGAUGAAGAGGCUGCAGCUAGAGCAUAUGAUCUUGCCGCUUUGAAAUACUGGGGUGCCGGGACACUAAUUAAUUUUCCUGUCAGUGACUAUGUAAGAGAUAUUGAAGAGAUGCAGAUGGUUUCAAAGGAGGACUAUCUCGUGUCUCUCAGAAGAAAAAGCAGUGCUUUUUCAAGAGGAUUCCCUAAAUAUCGUGGACUUCCUAGACAACCUCAAAAUUCCCGACGGGAUGCAUCUUUUGGACAGUUGCUAGGAAAUGACCAUAACAACCUAAACUGCAGUACAAGCAAGGAUGUGAUGACAGAUGGAAAUUAUGCCGGCAGCUUUGUUUUGGAGAGAAAAAUUGAUCUGACAAACUAUAUCAGGUGGUGGCUACCAAAGAAAGCACGUCAAUCAGAAUCUGCCUCUGCUUCCGAAGAAGUAGCCAAUGAACUCCGAAAUCUCGAGUCCUCAAUACCACCAACCGAGCCGUACAAGCUGCCUUCUCUUGGCCCUCAGAACUUGAAGCCUCGUUCAGGGAGCCUUUCUGCGUGUAGUAUCUUAUCACAGUCUGAUGCCUACAAAAAUUUUAUGGACAAGUAUUCAAAGUUGUCAGAAGAGAAGGAAGGUGUUUCUGGUAAAGAAACGGACCUUGGGAAAACAGUUCCCAUACAGUUUGCUAGCAGUGGAUUUGAUGGAUCAGUAGUUAGCAUAGGCUUGGCUGAGUUUCCAGCUCAAAAAUCUCCCUAUAUGUUGUCUCCUCUUCUCUCUGCACCAUUAAGGACCAGCUGGAAUCCUGUUGAUCCCAUAACUGAUCCUCUUUUCUGGACCGGUCUUGUUUCACCAACCGGGCAAUCUCUGACAACAUUGGUUAUGCCUCUGCCUGCUGCUUCUCUCUCUUUAAUUAAACAGUUACACUAGUUGAUUCAUCACCGUAAUCUAUAUUUUCUACUGUUAUAUCCGUGCACGGGAAGAACGAAGCUAGUUCUAGUUACUCAUAUCAAUGUCAGGAAUGAUGCACACAAGAUUUAGAAGUUCGUAGGAAAUGGUUGAGUCUUUGAGGGUGUACGAGAUAUUGCUAUAUAAGGAGCCUUGGUGGUAGACAAUUACCUCACUUCGUCAAAAAGUAUGUUUGUACUCGAGGAAAACUAUGUAAGCUGUGUCGGAUCAUGAGUUCACUUGAAACCACAAUUCUAGCAUAUAGCUGCAGGUUCAUUUGUUCAGGCAGAGAACAAAGAACUAAUCAUGGAAUGUAAGGGGCGCUUCCGGUCAAACAGUAGCACACAUGGUGGCACACAUGAUCGCAAGCCGAAAAAUGCUAUAAGGCUAGGCAGUCUAUAAGAUUACACUAAACUGGUUUUGAGCACACUUUUUACUGUUAGAGUGUAGUUUGUUUCAGAUAGUAUGUUCUUGAAUAAACACAGAUUCGGUUUUGGGUGUAAUGUGUGUGAUGAUAGGUAUAGAUAUAGUAUGGACUUUGUGUGAUAUUUUACCUUAUUAAUAUACAAUUGCAUCUCAUGUAAACUUUUGAGAAAUGUUGGUAGUCAUAAUCUUUGCCUAUUUCCUAGA